AUACUUACCUAGACGGGGUCAAUGAUCAAGAAGGCUCAUAACCUAGGUUGGUGACUUUUAUUGCACUUAGAAGAGGUGCCAGCUUAAGGUCUCCCCAGUGGAAGAGUCUACGUCAUAAAUAAUUGCACUGGAGCUAUUUAGUAUUACGGU
RNAcentral lists this small nuclear RNA (150 nucleotides) under Malus domestica (apple). RNAcentral's name for it is "sRNA MD15G0158400". The stretch from base 1 to 128 matches the Rfam family "U1 spliceosomal RNA". Rfam says of the family: U1 is a small nuclear RNA (snRNA) component of the spliceosome (involved in pre-mRNA splicing). Its 5' end forms complementary base pairs with the 5' splice junction, thus defining the 5' donor site of an intron. There are significant differences in sequence and secondary structure between metazoan and yeast U1 snRNAs, the latter being much longer (568 nucleotides as compared to 164 nucleotides in human). The record is from RNAcentral. Lineage: Eukaryota; Viridiplantae; Streptophyta; Magnoliopsida; Rosales; Rosaceae.